This 469-nucleotide ribosomal RNA is filed under the name uncultured bacterium. RNAcentral's name for it is "bacterial SSU rRNA". It matches the Rfam family "Bacterial small subunit ribosomal RNA", at positions 26 to 509 of the family's 1533-position model. The record is from RNAcentral.
AGGACGAACGCUGGCGGCGUGCCUAACACAUGCAAGUCGUAACGGAGUUGAGAGAGCUUGCUUUUUCAACUUAGUGGCGGACGGGUGAGUAACGCGUGAGGAACCUGCCUUUCAGAGGGGGACAACGAGUUGGAAACGACUGCUAAUACCGCAUAAUGUACGAGAGCGGCAUCGCUCAUGUACCAAAGAUUUAUCGCUGAAAGAUGGCCUCGCGUCUGAUUAGAUAGUUGGUGAGGUAACGGCCCACCAAGUCGACGAUCAGUAGCCGGACUGAGAGGUUGAUCGGCCACAUUGGGACUGAGACACGGCCCAGACUCCUACGGGAGGCAGCAGUGGGGAUAUUGCACAAUGGGCGAAAGCCUGAUGCAGCGACGCCGCGUGAGGGAAGAAGGUCUUCGGAUUGUAAACCUCUGUUUUCGGGGACGAUAAUGACGGUACCCGAGGAGGAAGCCACGGCUAACUACGUGCC